Molecule: ribosomal RNA, 406 nt
Filed under: uncultured bacterium
Lineage: Bacteria
Description: partial 16S ribosomal RNA
Rfam family: Bacterial small subunit ribosomal RNA
Source: RNAcentral
AUUGAACGCUGGCGGCAGGCCUACCACAUGCAAGUCGAACGAGUGGCGGACGGGUGAGUAAUGUCUGGGAAACUGCCCGAUGGAGGGGGAUAACUACUGGAAACGGUAGCUAAUACCGCAUCCCAUCGGAUGUGCCCAUAUUGGCGUAGCUAGUAGGUGGGGUAAAGGCUCACCUAGGCGACGCUCCCUAGCUGGUCUGAGAGGAUGACCAGCCACACGGGAACGGAGACACGGUCCAGACUCCUACGGGAGGCAGCAGUGGGGAAUAUUGCACAAUGGGCGCAAGCCUGAUGAAGCCAUGCCGCGUGUAUGAAGAAGGCCUUCGGGUUGUAAAGUACUGUCAGCGGGGAGGCGUUACCCGCAGAAGAAGCACCGGCUAACGCCGUGCCAGCAGCCGCGGUAAUAC